This 2040-nucleotide long non-coding RNA is filed under the name Setaria viridis. RNAcentral's name for it is "long non-coding RNA (SVIR_LNC009618)". The record is from RNAcentral. Lineage: Eukaryota; Viridiplantae; Streptophyta; Magnoliopsida; Poales; Poaceae.
UAGAAGAUGGUUGUUAAUGCAUCACUAUCAUCAAGAAAUUAUUCAAUUAAAUAAUUUCAACGUGCAAAAAUUUCAAUUGAUGUAUGUGGUUAACAUUGUUCAUAUUGAUCGAAUAAAUCUUCACCUCAACUAAUUUAAACACACAUGAAAUCAUAGAUACCUUAAAUUAAAAAUUGUAUCAAGUAGUAUAUGAAAUCAUAGAACCUUACAAUGUAACUUUACAUAAAGGUGAAGCAAAUUUAGCGCAUUACAAUGUAACGUUAAAAAACUUCCUCUUCACGAAAGUUCUUCACCAAAGCUUAUUACAUGGUAGUAUCUUUGAAACAUGUUUAGGGCACAGCACAUUACUCAUCUUUUGCACAACAACAAAUGUGACCUUUGGAAGAUAGCCCUCCUCUAAACUUGCACAACAAUUACUUGCUGAACUUGCACACCGUGUUCAUCUCGGCGAGCUCAUAAAGUACUAGUAUGCGGGGGAAGAUAUAUGUUUGCUGAUGAUAAUGAUACUUAUGAGCACUCUGAUGAUGAAGAGAUAGAGGAACAUUUGGCGCAUCACAUAUUUCAAAGUACCACAUCAAAUCGCACUCUAUUGAUCCGCGAGACCUCUCACCACUCCUCCACCACUUUCCAAGGCAAAUCAGCUUAUCACAUGGUAGUAUCUUUGAAAUAUGUUUAGGGAACAUCACAUUACGUUUAUCAUCUGAAAUAGGAGAAAAUCAAUGCCAGUGUGAUGCAUUGUAAUGCCAGUGUGACCUUUGGAAGAUGAAGCUUUUACCCUAAGCAGAGCAAAGUAGGAACAUCAACACGUACCACAUCACACAUCAAAAAGGUAGUGUGAAUUAAUGUCAGCCCAAGCUCCACUUAAUUCCACUUUCCAAUGUGCUGGCACUACAACUCCAGUUUAGGGCACAACAUCCAGGUCUAACCAAAUGGACACAAGUCUUCCCUUUAGAUAAUAUACCAUUGGACCAUGAAUCUGAAAUAGGAGGAAAACAAUGCCAGGGGCACAAGUCUUCCCUUAAGACGAAAGAGGGGACAGGGGCAUGCCUUUUCCUACAUCUAUUUUCAGUGAAGCUAUGAUCAUCGGCUGGUGUUGAGGCAACUUCUCUGCAAAGCAUCAUCGACUUGUAGAGCUUCACGCGUGUUGGAUAGGAUUCCUUGAAGGAGUUUGUACGUUGGACCAACGGGAAGUUGAUGAAAGAGUGGGACGAAAAUGUGACUCAUGUUAUUGUGGGCAAAGGUCCUGGUAGCUCAUGGUAGCUCAUGGAACAGAUCAUUUGAAGUCCUCAUGGCAGUACUACUUGGGAAAUGGGUUAUCCAUUUUGAUUGCGUAAGCCCAAUAGAGGUUGAUUACCGAAUAUGUCCACAAUGAUGCUUUCUACAGCUACCGGCAUCAAGGUUUGCAAUGGAUUUUUGCUAACUUCAAAGCUAGGAGGAAUGUUAUUCUUGCUGGAAUGUUAUUCUUGUUUCAAUUAAGUAGAAAACGAAAAACAUGAUAGUAGACAACACAAAUUUUGUAAGGAUAAGACAACACAAAUUUUGUAAGGAUAAGACUUGCUGAGCUUGCACACCGUGUUCAUCUCGGCGAGCUCAUGAAGUCCUAGAGUACGGGGGAAGAUAUGUGUUUGCAGAUGAUAAUGAUACUUAUGAGCACUCUGAUGAUGAAGAGAUAGAGGAACAUUUGGCUCGUCAACGUAUUUCAAUGUACCACGUCAAAAUCGCACUCUGUUGAUCCGCGAGACCACUCACCAACUCCUCCAUCACUUUCCAAGGCAAAUCAGCUUAUCACAUGGUAGUGUCUUUGAAACAUGUUUAGGGCACAUCACAUUAUGUUUAUCAUCUAAAAUAGAAGGAAAUCAAUGCCAGUGUGAUGCAUUGUAAUGCCAGUGUGACCUUUAGAAUAUGAAGCUUUUACCCCAAGCAGAGCAAAGCAGGAACAUCAACACGUACCACAUCACACAUCAAAAAGGUAGUAUCUUUGAAACAUGUUUAGGGCACAACACAUUACGUUUAUCAUCUUUUGCACAACAACAAAUGUGA